UACGAGGGGGGCGAGCGUUUGUUCGGAAUUAUUGGGCGUAAAGGGUGCGUAGGCGGUUUGGUAAGUCUGAUGUGAAAUCUAUGGGCUCAACUCAUAGUCUGCAUCGGAAAACUGCCGGGCUUUGAGUGUGGGAGAGGUGAGUGGAAUUCCUGGUGUAGCGGUGAAAUGCGUAGAUAUCAGGAGGAACACCUGUGGCGAAGGCGGCUCUCUGGGGACGGUACUGAGCUGAGACGCGAAAAGUGU
RNAcentral lists this ribosomal RNA (243 nucleotides) under uncultured bacterium. RNAcentral's name for it is "partial 16S ribosomal RNA". It matches the Rfam family "Bacterial small subunit ribosomal RNA", at positions 524 to 762 of the family's 1533-position model. The record is from RNAcentral.